This 393-nucleotide ribosomal RNA is filed under the name uncultured bacterium. RNAcentral's name for it is "partial 16S ribosomal RNA". It matches the Rfam family "Bacterial small subunit ribosomal RNA", at positions 523 to 918 of the family's 1533-position model. The record is from RNAcentral.
AUACGGAGGAUCCGAGCGUUAUCCGGAUUUAUUGGGUUUAAAGGGAGCGUAGGUGGACAGUUAAGUCAGUUGUGAAAGUUUGCGGCUCAACCGUAAAAUUGCAGUUGAUACUGGCUGUCUUGAGUACAGUAGAGGCGGGAGGAAUUCGUGGGGUAGCGGUGAAAUGCUUAGAUAUCACGAAGAACUCCGAUUGCGAAGGCAGCUCACUGGACUGCAACUGACACUGAUGCUCGAAAGUGUGGGUAUCAAACAGGAUUAGAUACCCUGGUAGUCCACACAGUAAACGAUGAAUACUCGCUGUUUGCGAUAUACAGUAAGCGGCCAAGCGAAAGCAUUAAGUAUUCCACCUGGGGAGUACGCCGGCAACGGUGAAACUCAAAGGAAUUGACGGGG